GACGAACGCUGGCGGCGUGCCUAAUACAUGCAAGUAGAACGCUGAAGGAGGAGCUUGCUCUUCUGGAUGAGUUGCGAACGGGUGAGUAACGCGUAGGUAACCUGCCUGGUAGCGGGGGAUAACUAUUGGAAACGAUAGCUAAUACCGCAUAAUAGCAGUUGUUGCAUGACAACUGUUUGAAAGGUGCAAUUGCACCACUACCAGAUGGACCUGCGUCGUAUUAGCUAGUUGGUGGGGUAACGGCUCACCAAGGCGACGAUACAUAGCCGACCUGAGAGGGUGAUCGGCCACACUGGGAGUGAGACACGGCCCAGACUCCUACGUGGAGGCAGCAGUAGGGAAUCUUCGGCAAUGGACGGAAGUCUGACCGAGCAACGCCGCGUGAGUGAAGAAGGUUUUCGGAUCGUAAAGCUCUGUUGUAAGAGAAGAACGAAGUGUGAGAGUGGAAAGUUCACA
This 456-nucleotide ribosomal RNA is filed under the name Streptococcus mitis. RNAcentral's name for it is "bacterial SSU rRNA". It matches the Rfam family "Bacterial small subunit ribosomal RNA", at positions 28 to 474 of the family's 1533-position model. The record is from RNAcentral. Lineage: Bacteria; Bacillati; Bacillota; Bacilli; Lactobacillales; Streptococcaceae.